RNAcentral lists this non-coding RNA (24 nucleotides) under Arabidopsis thaliana (thale cress). The record is from RNAcentral. Lineage: Eukaryota; Viridiplantae; Streptophyta; Magnoliopsida; Brassicales; Brassicaceae.
UGCACGUUUAUUGGAUUAGUCCAA